Sapajus apella (tufted capuchin) is the source of this 296-nucleotide long non-coding RNA. RefSeq lists it as uncharacterized. The transcript has 4 exons. NCBI's taxonomy places the organism in Eukaryota, Metazoa, Chordata, Mammalia, Primates, Cebidae. The record is from RefSeq and is a predicted model, not a curated record.
UCCUGCUCUGGAGACAAGGAAACAAGAGAGGAGAGGGGGAGGCCUGAGACAGCAGCAACAAUUGAGGCCUCUCGAAAGAGCAAGGUACUUAAUCUUUCAUCCUGUGAUAGUCAAGAAGAAUCUUACAAGCAUCUGACUCUUUUUACUCACUUGCCAGUAGCUCUUCACAUAUUUCUGGAAUUUGUGAUCCUGCAAAGUCCUCAGUUUGGUCCUACUUUUGGGAAAGAGAGAGCUGUGCCCAAGUGGGCUGGGGUGGUAGUGGGGAUGAGGCAGCAAUUUACUACGGCGAUCAGAUU